GCGGCAGGGGCACUGGCAGCGGCAAUGGCAGUAACAGCAGGGCCGACAGAGCACGUGAAUGUGGCCGUGCUCGAUGCGGCAACAGCCACCGCGGCGACACUGCAGGCGGCAGCAGUGGCAGCGGCUCGGGCAGCAGCAGAAGCAGCUCACACCAGAGCCGUGCCCCAGUGCUGGUCAUCGACCACAGUGGAAGCAGCUCACGAGUCACCCUCGACUCAGGCUCACCAUACCACCUCACGGGUGACCACUCCCUGCUGCACAACCAUGUCCCCGCCGGCAUGCCACGGCUAAUCGGGUGGGGCAACAUGUCGUGGGAACAGGGCAGCUGCACCUGCAUACUCGUGAUGGACACAAUGUCUGGCUGUACAACAUGCUGCACGUCCCCAGCUCGGGCCUCACCCUGACGUCUGUCGACCUCGUGAGAGGUCGACAGACCUCAUGACACGCGGCUACUCGGUCACGUUCAGCAUGGACAAGACGGGCUGCUGGUUCUCAUGCAUCAGCCUCCUGCACAACAGCCCGUCUAUAACCGCAUGGAGUGAGCGUGGGCACUAUGCAUGGACGUGGACCUGCAGGCGCCGACCGACAUCACCGUCAAUGUCCUCAGCACCACGGGUGACAGAGCGGGCGGGGGCCAGGCCGCAGGUAGCAGCGCUGGCGGAAGUGCCGCCACCAUCACCAGCACCCGUGGCGGCAGCACCGCCGGCAGCCACACCGGUGGAGGCCAACCGAACGGCGACAGCAACGGCAAAGGGCAACCAGGCAACAGCAGCCCCG
Molecule: long non-coding RNA, 777 nt
Filed under: Volvox carteri
Lineage: Eukaryota; Viridiplantae; Chlorophyta; Chlorophyceae; Chlamydomonadales; Volvocaceae
Description: long non-coding RNA (VCAR_LNC003080)
Source: RNAcentral